UGACCAAUUGCUGUUUUCUCAUUGUACCUU
This 30-nucleotide non-coding RNA is filed under the name Homo sapiens (human). The record is from RNAcentral. Lineage: Eukaryota; Metazoa; Chordata; Mammalia; Primates; Hominidae.